GACGAACGCUGGCGGCGUGCUUAACACAUGCAAGUCGAACGGUAAGGCCCUUCGGGGUACACGAGUGGCGAACGGGUGAGUAACACGUGGGUGAUCUGCCCUGCACUUCGGGAUAAGCCUGGGAAACUGGGUCUAAUACCGGAUAGGACCACUGCCUGCAUGGGUGGUGGUGGAAAGCUUUUGCGGUGUGGGAUGGGCCCGCGGCCUAUCAGCUUGUUGGUGGGGUGAUGGCCUGCCAAGGCGACGACGGGUAGCCGGCCUGGGAGGGUGGCCGGCCACACUGGGACUGAGAUACGGCCCAGACUCCUACGGGAGGCAGCAGUGGGGAAUAUUGCACAAUGGGCGCAAGCCUGAUGCAGCGACGCCGCGUGAGGGAUGACGGCCUUCGGGUUGUAAACCUCUUUCAGCACCGACGAAGCGCAAGUGACGGUAGGUGCAGAAGAAGGACCGGCCAACUACGUGCCAGCCGCCGCAGUAA
RNAcentral lists this ribosomal RNA (478 nucleotides) under uncultured bacterium. RNAcentral's name for it is "partial 16S ribosomal RNA". It matches the Rfam family "Bacterial small subunit ribosomal RNA", at positions 28 to 523 of the family's 1533-position model. The record is from RNAcentral.